CGGGUCCAGUUGGGUUUGGGUCA
This 23-nucleotide non-coding RNA is filed under the name Arabidopsis thaliana (thale cress). The record is from RNAcentral. Lineage: Eukaryota; Viridiplantae; Streptophyta; Magnoliopsida; Brassicales; Brassicaceae.